CGCCGAGUGAGUGGCAGUGAGGUCAUCGCCCUCCGACUCCCGGCACCCGACCCUCCACGCCAGGGGCGGGGCCUGUGGCCGCGCUCGACUCCCUACGCCCCGCCUCCACGGACGCCUCCUCGCGGACCGUCCGGCACGUCACGUGACGGGUCGGCGUCGCUGGCGGUUGCUGUCAGCUGAUUCCCCGGGUUGGUGGCUGGGGCAGCCGCGGCGAUGGACUUUCUUCUGGGGAAUCCGUUCAGCUCUCCGGUGGGACAGCGCAUCGAGAAGGCGACAGAUGGCUCCCUGCAGAGCGAGGACUGGGCCCUCAACAUGGAGAUCUGCGACAUCAUCAACGAGACGGAGGAAGGUCCCAAAGAUGCCUUCCGAGCGGUGAAGAAGAGAAUCGUAGGGAAUAAGAACUUCCACGAGGUGAUGCUGGCUCUCACGGUCUUAGAAACCUGCGUCAAGAACUGCGGGCACCGCUUCCACCUGCUGGUGGCCAGCCAGGACUUUGUGGAGGGCGUGCUGGUGAAGACCAUCCUACCCAAGAACAACCCGCCCACCGUCGUGCACGACAAAGUGCUCCACCUCAUCCAGUCCUGGGCUGACGCGUUCCGCAGCUCGCCCGACUUGACAGGGGUGGUGGCCGUCUACGAGGACCUGCGGAGGAAGGGCCUGGAAUUCCCGAUGACCGACUUGGACAUGCUGUCACCCAUCCACACGCCCCAGAGGACCGUGUUCAGCUCGGAGGCACCAUCAGGGCCGAAUUCUGUGGGCACGGACGCCAGCCAUGGAGGAGACUCCACCCCGCACACCACCCCUCUGCCCGUGCCGGCCACAGUCCCCAGUGACACACCCAUCACACCCACCCCUGAGCAGAUCGCAAAGCUGCGCAGCGAGCUCGAGAUGGUGAGUGGGAACGUGAGGGUGAUGUCGGAGAUGCUGACGGAGCUGGUGCCCACCCAGGCAGAGCCUGCAGACCUGGAGCUGCUACAGGAGCUCAACCGGACGUGCCGAGCCAUGCAGCAGCGGGUCCUAGAACUCAUCCCCCGAAUCGCCAAUGAACAGCUCACCGAGGAGCUGCUCAUCGUCAAUGACAACCUCAACAACGUGUUCCUGCGCCACGAACGGUUUGAACGGUUCCGAACAGGCCAGACCGGCAAGGCCCCACAAGAGGUCGAGGCGGCAGCUGACCUGAUCGACAUGGGCCCUGACCAGGUGGCCACCGGCAGCCUCUCAUCCCAGCUGGCGGGAAUGAACUUGGGCUCCAGCAGCGUGAGGGCUGGCCUGCAGUCUCUGGAGGCCUCUGGCCAACUGGAAGGCGAGUUUGACAUGUUUGCGCUGACCCGGGGCAGUUCUCUGGCUGACCAACGAAAAGAGGUGAAAUACGAAGCCCCCCAAGCAGCAGAUAGUCUGGCGGGAGCCCUGGAUGCCCGACAGCAGAACACUGGAUCGAUGGGAGGCAGCAGUGAGAAGAGCCUCAGUGCCUGGAUGAGGAGACAAGGCAUGAUCCCCGUCACCCAGGCCCGCCUCAUGGAGGACAUCGAGCAGUGGCUGUCCACAGACGUGGUAAGCCGGGGCCCACCCAGCCCAGGAACAGAGGCUCAGGUGCAUUUCUCACCCAGCUGACCGUGGGCUCCUGUUCGUCUCACGAGGACGUGACUGUCACAGGGGCAGGGUGAACAGCUGGUGGGGAGGGGAGGGAGCAUCAGUGUGGGACACCUCCCACCACCCCUCUGGUGGGCACUCCCUUCAAGAGGAGGGCCUGGGCCCCAUACGCCUCACAGCUGCUGGAGCGGACCCUUUCUGAGCGUGCCGCCACUGUGGGUCCCUGGGAGUCUUGGCCGCCUGGAGGGAAGGCAGACCAGGCUGAGGGUUACCGUGAGCACGCUGCACCCUGCGCCUGCACCAGCUCAGGGAGCCCUCCAGCACCUGUCCGAGAGAAACCACCGGCAGCCCCAUCUUACGGAUCAGGAGGCUGAUGAGCAGCCAUGAUGGGUGCCGAGCCCAGGAGGAAGCAGGGGCUCAGGCCGUCUGCAGAGCCCUACGGCCCCCAGGGAUCAGAAGCGGUGACCAGCCUCAGCCCUCCCGUCCAGGGCUCCUUCCCCUGCAUCUGCCACCUCACCUUUGGGCACCAAAGACCAAGGGCCUGAGCGCUCCCAGGCCCAGAGGCUGCCUUUUGUCGGCGGCCAGGACCGUUGUUUCUGCCCGAGGUCAGGCAAGGGUCCCUGUCAGGUGGUGAGCAGAAGGCACCCCCACCCCCAACUUUAGCCUGCGUGGUCUCCAUUUCUGGGUCCCUUCCCACCACAAGGCCAAGUCUGUCCACUCUCUACACACCAGAAGGAAAGGAACUGGUGUUCCACACCCUGGGCUUGGUGUUCUGUGUGAUAUUCCAUUUUAGCUUCCCGACAACCAAUUUUGCCACGCAGGAAAUUGAGGCACAGAGCAGUCAGGCAAAACCUAAGGCUGCAGCUCAGGAAGGGGUGGGGUUGAGGUUCAGGUUCUGGGCCCAGCCAGAACCUGAGCCUGGCCCCCUGGGGUUCAGCAGCCUGUGCCUGCCUCGCAGGACCACCCUGGCUAACCUCUGCCUCCUGCUGCUUUCUCAGGGGAAUGACGCGGAGGAGCCCAAGGGCGUCACCAGCGAAGAAUUUGACAAGUUCCUGGAAGAACGGGCCAAAGCAGCCGAUCGGUUGCCCAACCUUUCCAGCCCCUCGACUGAGGGGCCCCCAGGGCCCCCGGGGCCCCCUCGUGGCACUGCCCCUCGAAAGAAGACCCAGGAGAAAGAUGAGGACACGCUGUUUGCCUUAUGAGCGUGGGGCCUGGCGCCUGCAGCUCGAGCCCCUGCUGCUCCCGCACCCUUUGGCUGGGGCUUCUUUCCCUCCUUCGGUGUUAAGGCUGCUUUGAGGUUGGCUUGUUACCCCCUUCUCUCCUCCUCGAGUAUGGGCUGACCCAGCUGUGGCUGGGCCACGCUGCCUGGGCUGUGGAGAGGCAGCUGGAUGAACUGGAGUAACGGGUCAGUUCCACGUUGGGAUCUCGGCCGACUCCUGCCUCCUUCCCUACCCCAACCGACCACUACUUUGCUGAGAAGCAGGAAGUCUUGUGACAGGCUGGCUGCUUGGUCGCCCUGGUGUGACUCCUUGCCCUGGGUGGUCCCCUCCCUGGACCCAUCCCCAGAGGCGCCCACACUGUCAGCCGAGGCUUUGACUGGGGGCUAGAGACAGCAGAAGCUUCUGUCACAGCCCCUGGGCCAUUCCUCAGCACCUGCCUGGUGGAGUCCAAAGGCUCUGUCUGGCUAGCUGUUGAGGGGGCUGCCAAGCUGCACGCUAUCCAGGUACGAAGCUGCAUGUGGUGGGGGUGAGACCUCCACAGGCCGCAAAGGGGAGGCGUCCGGGGCUGCCUGGAGCACCUGUGACCCCCACGACCUCCACUGCCUUCUCCUGCAACUUCCCUCUGUUCCUCCCAGGCAGGGCUCCACCGGGCACUGGGCCCACCCACCUGUUGAUUGAUCCCCUUGUACUGGGAGAGGUGCCUUUUGUAUCCCCAAUUAAAGGUAGAAAAGCA
Molecule: non-coding RNA, 3543 nt
Organism: Callorhinus ursinus (northern fur seal)
Lineage: Eukaryota; Metazoa; Chordata; Mammalia; Carnivora; Otariidae
Source: RefSeq, a predicted model, not a curated record